CUGUUGGCCAAACUGUCGUUUCUGCUGGAAUAUCUUCUACUGAAAUAGUACUACUACUACUAAUACUACUUAAAAAAACCCAAAGCAAAUAAAACCCACUGCUUUAGAAUGCAUUCAUUGAGCAGUUUGACACGUUUUUUUUAAGAAAUCAAAGUUUUCAAGGCUGGCUGGUCAAUAGUACACUCCAACCAGGAAAAUGACAGGACUCUGGCUCUUUUUUUUUUUUUUUGAAGCAGGAUAAUGUCUCUGGACACUCGUAUUGCACCACUUGAAUUGGAAUUCUUGGACCAGUGCAAGAUGAACUAAAGCAAAAAUGUUUGUCAAGAAUGAUUUCAUUAAUCAAGAAGAAAAGCUGGAGGAUGUGGCCAACUCAAUAUCCAAUGGUUUUACUCCUAUCACUCACCAGGCAGGUCAUGGGACAUCCAAGUCUUUGGGUUCUG
RNAcentral lists this non-coding RNA (440 nucleotides) under Merops nubicus (carmine bee-eater). RNAcentral describes it as "Eukaryotic small subunit ribosomal RNA". It matches the Rfam family "Eukaryotic small subunit ribosomal RNA", at positions 636 to 1116 of the family's 1831-position model. Lineage: Eukaryota; Metazoa; Chordata; Aves; Coraciiformes; Meropidae. The record is from Rfam by way of RNAcentral.